Molecule: ribosomal RNA, 240 nt
Filed under: uncultured bacterium
Lineage: Bacteria
Description: partial 16S ribosomal RNA
Rfam family: Bacterial small subunit ribosomal RNA
Source: RNAcentral
AGCGGCGGACGGGUGAGUAACGCGUGGGUAACCUACCUCAUACAGGGGGAUAACAGUUGGAAACAGCUGCUAAUACCGCAUAAGCGCACAGUACCGCAUGGUACCGUGUGAAAAACUCCGGUGGUAUGAGAUGGACCCGCGUCUGAUUAGCUAGUUGGUGGGGUAACGGCCUACCAAGGCGACGAUCAGUAGCCGACCUGAGAGGGUGACCGGCCACAUUGGGACUGAGACACGGCCCAA